UUGCAGUUAAAAAGCUCGUAGUUGGAUUUUGGUUAAGAGGGCGCGGUCGGCCGUUUGGUCUGUACUGCGUUGUCUUGACUUCCUGAUGAGGACAUGCUCUUGGUUAACGCUGAGACAUGGAGUCAUCGUGGUUACUUUGAAAAAAUUAGAGUGUUCAAAGCGGGCUUACGCUUGAAUAUAUUAGCAUGGAAUAACACUAUAGGACUCCUGUCCUAUCUCGUUGGUCUCGGGAUGGGAGUAAUGAUUAAGAGGAACAGUUGGGGGCAUUCGUAUUUCAUUGUCAGAGGUGAAAUUCUUGGAUUUAUGAAAGACGAACUUCUGCGAAAGCAUUUGCCAAGGAUGUUUUCAUUAAUCAAGAACGAAAGUUGGGGGCUCGAAGAUGAUUAGAUACCAUCCUAGUCUCAACCAUAAACGAUGCCGACUAGGGAUUGGUGGAUGUUAAUUGAUGACUUCACCAGCACCUUAUGAGAAAUCAAAGUUUUUGGGUUCCGGGGGGAGUAUGGUCGCAAGGCUGAAACUUAAAGGAAUUGACGGAAGGGCACCACCAGGCGUGGAGCCUGCGGCUUAAUUUGACUCAACACGGGGAAACUUACCAGGUCCAGACAUAAGUAUGAUUGACAGAUUGAGAGC
RNAcentral lists this ribosomal RNA (630 nucleotides) under uncultured marine eukaryote. RNAcentral's name for it is "SSU rRNA". It matches the Rfam family "Eukaryotic small subunit ribosomal RNA", at positions 613 to 1255 of the family's 1831-position model. The record is from RNAcentral.